RNAcentral lists this transfer RNA (70 nucleotides) under Schistocephalus solidus. It matches the Rfam family "tRNA". Rfam says of the family: Transfer RNA (tRNA) molecules are approximately 80 nucleotides in length. The record is from Rfam by way of RNAcentral. Lineage: Eukaryota; Metazoa; Platyhelminthes; Cestoda; Diphyllobothriidea; Diphyllobothriidae.
GAGCACUUGGCUCAAUGGUAGAGCGUUCGACUAAAUAACAAAGGUCUUUGGUUCGAAUCCCAGGUGUUCC